This 1372-nucleotide ribosomal RNA is filed under the name uncultured bacterium. Its description in RNAcentral is "bacterial SSU rRNA". It matches the Rfam family "Bacterial small subunit ribosomal RNA", at positions 28 to 1381 of the family's 1533-position model. The record is from RNAcentral.
GAUGAACGCUGGCGGCGUGCCUAAUACAUGCAAGUCGAGCGAACGGACGAGAAGCUUGCUUCUCUGAUGUUAGCGGCGGACGGGUGAGUAACACGUGGAUAACCUACCUAUAAGACUGGGAUAACUUCGGGAAACCGGAGCUAAUACCGGAUAAUAUUUUGAACCGCAUGGUUCAAAGGUGAAAGACGGUCUUGCUGUCACUUAUAGAUGGAUCCGCGCUGCAUUAGCUAGUUGGUAAGGUAACGGCUUACCAAGGCAACGAUGCAUAGCCGACCUGAGAGGGUGAUCGGCCACACUGGAACUGAGACACGGUCCAGACUCCUACGGGAGGCAGCAGUAGGGAAUCUUCCGCAAUGGGCGAAAGCCUGACGGAGCAACGCCGCGUGAGUGAUGAAGGUCUUCGGAUCGUAAAACUCUGUUAUUAGGGAAGAACAUAUGUGUAAGUAACUGUGCACAUCUUGACGGUACCUAAUCAGAAAGCCACGGCUAACUACGUGCCAGCAGCCGCGGUAAUACGUAGGUGGCAAGCGUUAUCCGGAAUUAUUGGGCGUAAAGCGCGCGUAGGCGGUUUUUUAAGUCUGAUGUGAAAGCCCACGGCUCAACCGUGGAGGGUCAUUGGAAACUGGAAAACUUGAGUGCAGAAGAGGAAAGUGGAAUUCCAUGUGUAGCGGUGAAAUGCGCAGAGAUAUGGAGGAACACCAGUGGCGAAGGCGACUUUCUGGUCUGUAACUGACGCUGAUGUGCGAAAGCGUGGGGAUCAAACAGGAUUAGAUACCCUGGUAGUCCACGCCGUAAACGAUGAGUGCUAAGUGUUAGGGGGUUUCCGCCCCUUAGUGCUGCAGCUAACGCAUUAAGCACUCCGCCUGGGGAGUACGACCGCAAGGUUGAAACUCAAAGGAAUUGACGGGGACCCGCACAAGCGGUGGAGCAUGUGGUUUAAUUCGAAGCAACGCGAAGAACCUUACCAAAUCUUGACAUCCUUUGACAACUCUAGAGAUAGAGCUUUCCCCUUCGGGGGACAAAGUGACAGGUGGUGCAUGGUUGUCGUCAGCUCGUGUCGUGAGAUGUUGGGUUAAGUCCCGCAACGAGCGCAACCCUUAAGCUUAGUUGCCAUCAUUAAGUUGGGCACUCUAAGUUGACUGCCGGUGACAAACCGGAGGAAGGUGGGGAUGACGUCAAAUCAUCAUGCCCCUUAUGAUUUGGGCUACACACGUGCUACAAUGGACAAUACAAAGGGCAGCGAAACCGUGAGGUCAAGCAAAUCCCAUAAAGUUGUUCUCAGUUCGGAUUGUAGUCUGCAACUCGACUACAUGAAGCUGGAAUCGCUAGUAAUCGUAGAUCAGCAUGCUACGGUGAAUACGUCCCCGGGUCU